This 425-nucleotide long non-coding RNA is filed under the name Zea mays. Its description in RNAcentral is "long non-coding RNA (ZMAY_LNC003433)". Lineage: Eukaryota; Viridiplantae; Streptophyta; Magnoliopsida; Poales; Poaceae. The record is from RNAcentral.
AGGCCCGGCCACGGCCAGGACACGCGCUGCGACUGCGACCUUAGGAGCUGGUCCUGUGCUCGCCGGCGGCGUCCGCCUUGUGGUCUGCUUCCUCAGCUGAGCUCUUGUGGUAGCCGGGUAUCUUGUCCAUGAUCUUGCCCAGCAAGCCCUUCUUCUCCUUGCCAUCCGGGCUGCUCACGUUCUCCGCCUGCGGCGCCGGCGCCGGCGCGUGGACGGGCGGAGCCGGUGCGGCAGCGGCAGCGGCUUCAGGCUUCUUGUUGUGGCCACCGGGGAGCUUCUCCUUGAUCUUGUCCAGCAGGCCUUUCUUCUCCUCCUCCGGUGCAUGCGGCGGGGUCCCGGUCUUCACGUCGUCCUGGACGACGACGCCGUGGUCGUGCUGGUGGACGUGCGGUGGAGGCGGCGGGGCCGGGGUCGGGACGACGUGC